UGGGGACAGGAAGGGGAUCCUGUUUUGUACCCCCGAUGACAAAUUUAGAUUGGUCGUGUCUGUGACUCACCCUCGCAUUUUCCUCGCGCCCGGUCAGAUCUCGUGAGACACUAUAUACAUCGCCAUCUCAUACCCUGAAUUCGGCCGCUGCUGUCACCAUCUCCAUUCGCGAGACUGCAGUUACCAUGACGACUCCAGGACGGCUGUCCUUACCGGCGCUAUUCUUACUGACACUUUCAUCGAUUGCAUACUCGGAUAAUGAAGAACACAAAUCUAUCGACCAAAUCAUAAUGGAAGCAGCUCCAAAAGCGGAAAUGUUCGACGUGCUUCACCUGAGUCCAGAAGGUGACGUCAUGAUGAUGGUGGAGCUGGACAUCAUGAUGAGCCUCAAGCAGUACAUGGAGUUGAAAAGAGUCCCGGAAGUGACGCGCAACAAGCGCAAAGCGCUGAGGGCGACGGACAUGAGAUGGAGAGACUGCACCGUGUACUACGAGUUCAGCAAUGACCUGCAAGGUGACAGAAAUGUGAUACACGAAGCAAUAGCAGAGUGGGAAAAAUACACUUGUUUGGACUUCAAGCAAGCCAACUCCUCCACCACAGAUAAAAUCAUCUUUCAGGACGGCAAUGGGUGCUUCUCUCGGCUUGGAAGAGUAGGAGGGCCGCAAGUUAUCGGACUUGGUAGGGGCUGUUUUCAAAAAGGCGUGGUGGUCCAUGAAAUCGGCCACGCGAUUGGCUGGAUCCACGAGCAGGCGCGACCAGAUCGAGACUCUUACAUCCGGGUCAACUACAACCGCAUUCCACAGCCAUGGCAUCCGCAGUUCGACAAGUUUGAGAGCAGCGUGAUAAACACAUACAACAUAGAAUACGACUAUCGUAGUGUAAUGCACUACAGCGGAAAUGCACUAGCAGAGAGAAGCAUAGAAACGCUGGAUCCGGCUUUUCAAGAUGUCAUCGGCCAACGAAGCGGCCUGAGUUUCCGCGACAUCAAGUUAGCGAACAUCAUGUAUGAGUGUGCUCAGAGAAUGGGCUGUAGAAAUACAGACUGCACCUCAAUCAGUAAAGAGGCAUUCCGGGACAAGAACUGUCGGUGCGUCUGUCCCGGUAACGACACUCACCCAGCUGUGCCGUGCGGGUCGCCGAGUACAACCAAAAAACCUCCAGCAACAACUGCCAGAUUUAUCACAACUACCAAAAUUGCCAAAACUACACUUCGAAACCGGAGCCCAUGGCGUGCACGGACUUGCGACCGGACUGUCAACACCUAGUCACACUGAACGAGUGUCGAAUGAAUCCAUCCCAGAUGCUCAUGUACUGUAAAAAAGCCUGCAACUUUUGUGACAAAGACGACAGCAGCUUGUGUAUGGACUUUGACCCUUCUUGUCCGAUGCUGGCGCAGUCCAACUUCUGCGAGAACUCUAAGUUCGCGUACUUCAUGAGCAUGAAAUGCAAGAAGUCGUGCAAGAUGUGCGCUACAACAGG
This 1479-nucleotide unclassified non-coding RNA is filed under the name Pomacea canaliculata. Its description in RNAcentral is "zinc metalloproteinase nas-13-like, transcript variant X1". Lineage: Eukaryota; Metazoa; Mollusca; Gastropoda; Architaenioglossa; Ampullariidae. The record is from RNAcentral.